CUACGGGGGGCAGCAGUGAGGAAUAUUGCACAAUGGGGGGAACCCUGAUGCAGCAACGCCGCGUGGAGGAUGACGCAUUUCGGUGUGUAAACUCCUUUUAUAUGUCAAGAAAAUGACGGUAGCAUAUGAAUAAGCACCGGCUAACUCCGUGCCAGCAGCCGCGGUAAUACGGAGGGUGCAAGCGUUACUCGGAAUCACUGGGCGUAAAGGACGCGUAGGCGGGCUUGUAAGUCAGGUGUGAAAGCCAACAGCUUAACUGUAGAACUGCACUUGAAACUCUCAACCUAGAGUAUGGGAGGGGCAGAUGGAAUUAGUGGUGUAGGGGUAAAAUCCGUAGAUAUCACUAGGAAUACCUAAAGCGAAGGCGAUCUGCUGGAACAUUACUGACGCUAAGGCGUGAAAGCGUGGGGAGCAAACAGGAUUAGAUACCCUUGUAGUC
Molecule: ribosomal RNA, 439 nt
Filed under: uncultured bacterium
Lineage: Bacteria
Description: partial 16S ribosomal RNA
Rfam family: Bacterial small subunit ribosomal RNA
Source: RNAcentral